This is a long non-coding RNA of Mesocricetus auratus (golden hamster), 1719 nucleotides long. RefSeq lists it as uncharacterized. The record is from RefSeq and is a predicted model, not a curated record. The transcript has 3 exons. Lineage: Eukaryota; Metazoa; Chordata; Mammalia; Rodentia; Cricetidae.
AGCAUGCCUUUCCUUAACAAGCUCCAUGACUGGGACAAAUAACAUAAGCGUUUUGUACCUGUUCCCAUAUCUGUACGGUACAGUUUCCUCCCAGAUUUGAAAUAAAAUCUGUGUUCCUAAUUCCCUUUGUUCCAAAUAAAGUAGCCACUGUGUGCUUAUAUAGUAAAUGUACAUGUGGAAUACAUACGUAUAUUGUGUAUUAAGUAACUGAUAGUUCAUGGCAUUGUAGAUCUUGAUCUUUGUGUCUUACUUCUUUAGCUUAUUCGUUUAUGAAUGUUAAUCUUCCCACUUUUCAGUAAGUAAUGCUGAUGUUCUACAGCAAACAGAAAUGACCAGAAUUACCUUUCCCCUGUGAGCCAAGAGGGCCCACUUCAUCUCUCCCAAUAGGAAAAUCACAAAAGCCACCAGGUAUAGUACAGUACUGCUAAAAGCAACUUUUCACGAGACAAAUAUGAUUGCCAAACAAAGGUAAGAUAUUUCUCAAGUUUUCUUCUUUGUUCUACUGCUGGAUUUCAUGAUCUGUUUUUAUUAUGAAGCCAAGUUAGAAGGGAAGGCCGAGGAGGACUUGGCUGAGGCACAUUCUUUUCCUCUCACAAAGGUUGUUCCAGAUACUGUGUGACUCUGAAAGGUACCAUAUGAAGCGUAUCACACAAUUAUUACACGCCAUUUAUCAUGUUGGUCUCAAAUGCUGAGUUUGGAAACCAUGCGAGGAUCAGGUUCUAAGUGGAGUACUUAGGAAGAAGACAGAUGCAGCCUCUAUCUUUAUUGCCCCUAUGUGCUUUCCCUCUUACGUUUUGAGUUCCGAAGCAUGGCCAUACAGAGUUAAUUAGCAAGUAUGAGACCGGGAGAAGGAGAUGUCAAUCAGACAGAGGUGCACGGAACCCUUUAAUUAGCAUGAAAUGGUCUGUGCCACAAGAUCCAAUUCAACUGAUGGUCAGUAAAACACCAAGACCAUUCAAAGAGAAAGAAGUUCUCAACAAAUAUAUCUUCGACAACUGGAAAGUCACUGCAAAAAAGAAUGGUAUUAGACAAUACUACUUCUCAUCCCAAUGAAAAGUAGCCUGAGAUGCUUAAAGAAACUGAAUGUAAAAGAUAGAAGUAAAAACCUUUUAUAUAUGAACUGCAAUUUUCAAGUUAGUGCUUUUUAGUUUCUCCAUAGUUUUAUCAAGACAUGUGGAUGGCAUUGUGGGAGAAACAUAAUCCAUGACUCAUGUGCAUGUACAUCACAUCCAGAGGUGGUUCCUGGAAGAAUAUGAAGGGAAGUGAUAAAGGCAAAUGCUCCACAAUGAGAAUUCUACUUACUAUUCAUUAUUUCUUUCUAAAGACUUACAGUUUUCCCCUGUAUUGAAUUGGUUGUUUUGUUGUUUGUAAUCAAUAGACAUUGUUUUCCAGCUUUUAUUUAAAAAGUUAAAAUUAAAAAUAUAAAAAUAUGCAUCUGUUAGAAUUAAACAAAAUAAGACAUCAUCAGCACCUUGGACUUGGUGGCAGUUUCCUGACCAUGUUCCUAAAGUGUUAGCAUCAGAAUUUAAAAAAGAUUAAGUGGAACAUUUCACAAUUUUAGACUUUUGUACCUCAGGUGCUACUGUAGGGAAGUUAAAAGACAAUUCUCAGAAUGAGUCCAUGUAUUUGUAACUCAUUUAUCUGUUAAAGAGAUUGUCCAUGCUUUAACUCAUCCCUUUAAUCCCAGCACUCAAGAGGCAGAGGCAAGUGGAUCUCUCU